GCGUGGCUGCGCGGUUCGUCAGGAGACAUAUCCCCGGGGCCUUACGCAUCCCUUUGGGAGCUGUUCCUGUCCUCGCCCGUGGGCUUGGGCACACGGCGCCCACCUACACAGUAGGUUUCCCGGGAUUGCAAACUCCAACGGCUGAUGCGGCCACGUC
RNAcentral lists this non-coding RNA (157 nucleotides) under Alphaproteobacteria bacterium. RNAcentral's name for it is "6S RNA". It matches the Rfam family "6S / SsrS RNA". From Rfam's summary of the family: E. coli 6S RNA was the first non coding RNA to be sequenced, but its function was unknown until recently. It consists of 184 nucleotides that fold into an extended hairpin structure with a large single-stranded internal bulge. The 6S RNA specifically associates with RNA polymerase holoenzyme containing the sigma70 specificity factor. The record is from RNAcentral. Lineage: Bacteria; Pseudomonadati; Pseudomonadota; Alphaproteobacteria.